AUGUCACUAUGACAUUUCCUUCUGCAAGAAUUUCAGGCUAGGUUUAGGAUUCAGUUUUGAUGGUUGUGAUUUAGGCAUUGCAAAAAUCUCAGUGAGAAACCCUCAAACUCAAACCGUUCUAGUAAAAUUACGCUUUUUAAAGUACAAUAACUACUUCUAACCUUUUUAGAAAGUUGUCUAGUUUACGUGGGCGGUGUUUUGUUAACAUUUCCUAUUAUCUCAGUUUUAUUGAGAGCAAAAACUAAAAGAACACCUCGUUUUGUGCAUAUGAUUAGUAUUCAGAAAUAGUGAGAUAUGGCCUGCUAGUUUCGAACUGUAUUGAAAUAUAUUGCAUGUUAGAUGAUGGUGUUAAUUUGAAGAAACAAGUCGUCGGUGC
Molecule: long non-coding RNA, 376 nt
Organism: Papilio polytes (common Mormon)
Lineage: Eukaryota; Metazoa; Arthropoda; Insecta; Lepidoptera; Papilionidae
Exons: 3
Source: RefSeq, a predicted model, not a curated record